UUUCCGGGUAGUCCGGGUCCGGAGCGUCCUGCUCUGGCUCCUCUAGUUGUGGGAAUCUAGACUGCGUCGAGGAAGGAGGCGGGCGAUAUGGUUUUAGUUGCCACACCUUAGGCCUGCCAGGGAGCACAAUUUCUAAGUUUCAUAGAUAUUUUCAAAGCGAUAUGAACUGUUCGCCACCUGCACCUUAAGUGGCCCCAGUGAUCCCUAGUGGGCGCUUGAAACUUUUGCUAGACGCUUUGGCAGUUCGUAAAGAAACCGGGUGCGCGGUAGCCAAGCCACAGCCUUGGAGAGCCCGAUUACUGUAUGAGAGAGCGGCUUUUCCCGAGAAAUUAGGUUAGGUUUAAAGGGAUGAGCCGCAACCUUUUUUGUCCUGUGUCUAUGUCUGUCCUGGGCUCAGCCUUUUUCCACCCGGCCUCACUGUAAGGCGGUCAGGAGCGGCUGGAGGCUGCAUCUGGCAGUCUAGCUUGUGCUCCGUCCAUCCCGCGCACUUUGCACCCACAGGCAAGGUGGUGAGGAGUAAGUUCAUUGCACCAAAAAGGCCCAUCUACACUGAAGAACUUUCAGGGGAAUUUUGACUCACAAAUUCAAUGACUUUACAUUAGGAUGAGAAAUAUUUCAGGGAGUGCACAAUUAAUGUUCGUGUCAAUUGUGAAACAAUUUUCGCAAAAAUUUUAUUCGCCUUGAAGCAGCUAGCAAAAUUAUUUGUAAAAUGAAGUCUCGGAAACUUUGUUCCAGACAUACUUUGCUAUUUAAUUAUAUGAGAAGUGCCCGAGUGUGUUGCUUUUCUAUUGUUCUGUAACAAAUUACUACAAAUUAAUGGUUUAAAAUAUCACCCAUUUGUUAUCGUACUCGUGUAGGUCCGGAGUUGGUGUGGUAUAGCCGAGUGCUCUGCUUAAGGGUCUCACACUGUUGAAGUAAAGGCGUCUGCAAGUGGAAUCUCAUUGAAGAUCUGGGUUUCUCUUCCAAGCCCCUGGCUGUUAGCAGAAUUAAUGUCCUUGUGUUUCUUAGUCUGAGGUUCUCCUUGUUUUGCUAGUUGUUGGCCAGAGGCUUUUGCCAAAUAGCUCUUCUAUAAGCUUUCUCAUACUUACAGUCUCUGACUUCAUGGAGAUCCCUUUUAAGGAUUCAUCUGUGUGUUUAAAUCAACCAACUUUUCACUCUUUCCACCAGGAACUUAGAGUCAGAAUUCUGGCAUAAGACUGGUAAAGCAUGAUGCCCAUCUUACUACGAAUAAAAAUUGUCUUUCUAAGGAAUUUUAUAUUAAUACUCAGCACUUCAGGAAAAUUUCAUGGAAGAGCCCAAGACAUUUUCAAAUUGGAGAACCGAUUGGAUGAAUGAGUUUGAAUUCCAGAAAAAGAAAUGGGAAUAACGAGUUAGCAUUCUUCAUGCCACUAAGGAAUCUUCCUUCCAAAUUAUGUGGAAGGAAAAGAUAUUUCUGGAAUUGGAUUUACUAUACUGAGGCUUUCUCACAUAUGGUUGUUUCUUACCACUGGUACAUCUUAUACUAAACUUAGCUACAAAAAAGCACAUGUCACUGUGGUCCCAAUUAUAUGCUAUCCAUGAAUGGUGUUGUGUAAGGGCUCACAUUUUGAGGAACAUUUCUAAAGAUUUCCUGAGGCCUCUGAAGAGAUCUGAACAUCUACAACCACCAAAAAUGGGCUGAUAUAUUUUGGAGAUUACAGCACGGUAGUGAACAGCUUUGGGUAUUGAAAGAUGGAGUUCGACUACCAGCUCUGUCAUUUACCAGCUUAGUGGC
Long non-coding RNA from Neofelis nebulosa (Clouded leopard), 1753 nucleotides. RefSeq lists it as uncharacterized. The transcript is spliced from 4 exons. NCBI's taxonomy places the organism in Eukaryota, Metazoa, Chordata, Mammalia, Carnivora, Felidae. The record is from RefSeq and is a predicted model, not a curated record.